Molecule: ribosomal RNA, 465 nt
Filed under: Vreelandella stevensii
Lineage: Bacteria; Pseudomonadati; Pseudomonadota; Gammaproteobacteria; Oceanospirillales; Halomonadaceae
Description: partial 16S ribosomal RNA
Rfam family: Bacterial small subunit ribosomal RNA
Source: RNAcentral
CCUACGGGAGGCUGCAGUGGGGAAUAUUGGACAAUGGGGGCAACCCUGAUCCAGCCAUGCCGCGUGUGUGAAGAAGGCCCUCGGGUUGUAAAGCACUUUCAGUGAGGAAGAACGCCUGGUGGUUAAUACCCAUCAGGAAAGACAUCACUCACAGAAGAAGCACCGGCUAACUCCGUGCCAGCAGCCGCGGUAAUACGGAGGGUGCGAGCGUUAAUCGGAAUUACUGGGCGUAAAGCGCGCGUAGGUGGCUUGAUAAGCCGGUUGUGAAAGCCCCGGGCUCAACCUGGGAACGGCAUCCGGAACUGUCAAGCUAGAGUGCAGGAGAGGAAGGUAGAAUUCCCGGUGUAGCGGUGAAAUGCGUAGAGAUCGGGAGGAAUACCAGUGGCGAAGGUGGCCUUCUGGACUGACACUGACACUGAGGUGCGAAAGCGUGGGUAGCAAACAGGAUUAGAUACCCGGGUAGUC